Molecule: ribosomal RNA, 210 nt
Filed under: Staphylococcus aureus
Lineage: Bacteria; Bacillati; Bacillota; Bacilli; Caryophanales; Staphylococcaceae
Description: partial 16S ribosomal RNA
Rfam family: Bacterial small subunit ribosomal RNA
Source: RNAcentral
GACAAAGUGACAGGUGGUGCAUGGUUGUCGUCAGCUCGUGUCGUGAGAUGUUGGGUUAAGUCCCGCAACGAGCGCAACCCUUAAGCUUAGUUGCCAUCAUUAAGUUGGGCACUCUAAGUUGACUGCCGGUGACAAACCGGAGGAAGGUGGGGAUGACGUCAAAUCAUCAUGCCCCUUAUGAUUUGGGCUACACACGUGCUACAAUGGACA